RNAcentral lists this ribosomal RNA (61 nucleotides) under Deladenus siricidicola. RNAcentral describes it as "partial 18S ribosomal RNA". It matches the Rfam family "Eukaryotic small subunit ribosomal RNA", at positions 1769 to 1831 of the family's 1831-position model. The record is from RNAcentral. Lineage: Eukaryota; Metazoa; Nematoda; Chromadorea; Rhabditida; Sphaerulariidae.
GGAUCCGGAAGUAAAAGUCGUAACAAGGUGGCUGUAGGUGAAACCUGCUGCCGGAUCAUUA